CAGGACACGCUGGCGGCGUGCCUAAUACAUGCAAGUCGAGCGGAUCUUCGGGAGCUUGCUCCCGAAGAUUAGCGGCGGACGGGUGAGUAACACGUGGGCAACCUGCCUGUAAGAUCGGGAUAACUCCGGGAAACCGGGGCUAAUACCGAAUAAUGCAUUUCCUCUCAUGAGGAAAUGCUGAAAGAUGGUUUCGGCUGUCACUUACAGAUGGGCCCGCGGCGCAUUAGCUAGUUGGUGAGGUAACGGCUCACCAAGGCCACGAUGCGUAGCCGACCUGAGAGGGUGAUCGGCCACACUGGGACUGAGACACGGCCUAGACUCCUACGGGAGGCAGCAGUAGGGAAUCUUCCGCAAUGGACGAAAGUCUGACGGAGCAACGCCGCGUGAGCGAUGAAGGCCUUCGGGUCGUAAAGCUCUGUUGUUAGGGAAGAAUAAGUAUCGGAGUAACUGCCGGUACCUUGACGGUACCUAACCAGAAAGCCACGGCUAACUACGUG
RNAcentral lists this ribosomal RNA (497 nucleotides) under uncultured Bacillus sp. RNAcentral describes it as "bacterial SSU rRNA". It matches the Rfam family "Bacterial small subunit ribosomal RNA", at positions 33 to 507 of the family's 1533-position model. Lineage: Bacteria; Bacillati; Bacillota; Bacilli; Caryophanales; Bacillaceae. The record is from RNAcentral.